CCUUCCCAGGGCCUAUGGUCUUGGGGAUGGGUGGGAAGGGCAGUGACUUCACUCGGAGAUGACAAGCUGUCAUUGUAAGAGCUGUCGUUCCAUUUCCGUCUUCUCAGCAAAAUACUCCUCUGGUGUAGGAAUUUUUCAAAUAGAAACUAAUUGCAGAGUUUCCAGUUGACCACCAUUCAUAGGGUAAGACUAACGUUCUGAAUUGUGAACACGUGGUAAAGAUAAUUACUCUUAACAUUGGUAGCUUGGGGCAAAUACUGAAUACUUAGUAUGUAAAAAGAGAUUGUUAUUUCGACCGACAUUUUGAAUAAAAUCUUUUUUACGUUUUUCAGCCAGUUAAUAAACAAA
RNAcentral lists this long non-coding RNA (348 nucleotides) under Panthera leo (lion). Its description in RNAcentral is "lncRNA (ENSPLOG00000007862.1)". Lineage: Eukaryota; Metazoa; Chordata; Mammalia; Carnivora; Felidae. The record is from RNAcentral.